Cercocebus atys (sooty mangabey) is the source of this 90-nucleotide small nucleolar RNA. Its record names the gene SNORD14. It matches the Rfam family "Small nucleolar RNA SNORD14". Rfam says of the family: U14 small nucleolar RNA (U14 snoRNA) is required for early cleavages of eukaryotic precursor rRNAs. In yeasts, this molecule possess a stem-loop region (known as the Y-domain) which is essential for function. A similar structure, but with a different consensus sequence, is found in plants, but is absent in vertebrates. The record is from Ensembl. Lineage: Eukaryota; Metazoa; Chordata; Mammalia; Primates; Cercopithecidae.
UCACAGUGAUGAUGGUUUUUCAACGUUCACAAUUUCCACCAGAAAGGGGUUCCUUAGUGUUGGGUAAACCUUCCUUGGAUGUCUGUGAGA